This is a non-coding RNA of Steinernema glaseri, 47 nucleotides long. The record is from Rfam. Lineage: Eukaryota; Metazoa; Nematoda; Chromadorea; Rhabditida; Steinernematidae.
CCAACGGCCCUCUUUAGGGCCACAGAUAUCUAAGUAAAACACUUGAU